AUGAGAUUUCCCCUAACAACCGAGUCACCCUUUGGACACCGACUGAAUAACAUGGCCGCGCAAAGAUGGCAGCUCAUUUGCAUCGUCUGCGCGCGAGGUAAUAGAAACUUUCAUAUUGGAUUCAAAUCUUUAUAAAAGGAAAAAAAACUUGAAUAAAGAAAAUUGAAAUAAAAGAUCUGAUUGACUGUCUGACGAUGAAGGAAAAUAUGCAAUUAUGUAAAAUAGUGCCCAGUUCUUUGGCUCACUCACUAAGAGGCCUGAAAGUAAAACAGAUUCUAUCUACAAGAUCAAUGCAAAAGGAACUAUUCAAAUGAAGAUGGUUUGACAGAAAGCAGAAAUUAGAAAUAUUUAUGUAAAAUUUAAAAAUGCUGUAUUACGCAUCAAUAAAAGUUCAAUUUAUUAUAUUCUG
Long non-coding RNA from Parasteatoda tepidariorum (common house spider), 409 nucleotides. NCBI's taxonomy places the organism in Eukaryota, Metazoa, Arthropoda, Arachnida, Araneae, Theridiidae. The record is from RefSeq and is a predicted model, not a curated record.